GUAGGGAAUAUUGGGCAAUGGAUGCAAGUCUGACCCAGCCAUCCCGCGUGCCGGAAGAAGGUCCUCAGGGUUGUAAACGGCUUUUGACGGUGAAGAAUCGACAGGAUGCGUCCUGUUUUGACGGUAGCCGUUGAAUAAGCACCGGCUAACUCCGUGCCAGCAGCCGCGGUAAUACGGAGGGUGCGAGCGUUGUCCGGAUUUAUUGGGUUUAAAGGGUGCGUAGGCUGGAAGGUCAGUCAGCGGUGAAAAGCUGUCGCUUAACGAUAGUCUUGCCGCAGAUACUUCCUUUCUUGGAUGAGGAGGAGGCCACUGGAACGGAUGGUGUAGCGGUGAAAUGCAUAGAUAUCAUCCAGAACACCGAUUGCGAAGGCAGGUGGCUGUACCUUAAUCGACGCUGAUGCACGAAAGCAUGGGGAGCAAACAGGAUUAGAAACCCUGGUAGUCC
RNAcentral lists this ribosomal RNA (445 nucleotides) under uncultured bacterium. RNAcentral describes it as "partial 16S ribosomal RNA". It matches the Rfam family "Bacterial small subunit ribosomal RNA", at positions 354 to 796 of the family's 1533-position model. The record is from RNAcentral.